Molecule: ribosomal RNA, 245 nt
Filed under: uncultured bacterium
Lineage: Bacteria
Description: partial 16S ribosomal RNA
Rfam family: Bacterial small subunit ribosomal RNA
Source: RNAcentral
GACGAACCGAGCAAACGUUAUUCGGAAUCACUGGGCUUAAAGGGCGCGUAGGCGGGCAUCCAAGUCUGUGGUGAAAUCCGGCAGCUUAACUGUCGAACUGCCGUGGAUACUGGGUGUCUCGAGGGAGGUAGGGGCGUGCGGAACUAUUGGUGGAGCGGUGAAAUGCGUUGAUAUCAAUAGGAACUCCGGUGGCGAAGGCGAUCACCUGGGGUUGUUCUGACGCUGAGGAGCGAAAGCUAGGGGAG